This 119-nucleotide ribosomal RNA is filed under the name Nothoprocta perdicaria. Lineage: Eukaryota; Metazoa; Chordata; Aves; Tinamiformes; Tinamidae. The record is from RNAcentral.
AAAUACGGCCAUACCAUUCUCAGUGAGCCCAAUCCCAUCUGAUCUCAGAAGCUAAGCAGAGCUGGGUUCAGUUAGUCCCUUCAUGGGAGACUGUCUGGAAAUGCCACAUGCUGUAUGUU